AUUGAACGCUGGCGGCAUGCCUUACACAUGCAAGUCGAACGGCAGCGCGGGGGCAACCCUGGCGGCGAGUGGCGAACGGGUGAGUAAUAUAUCGGAACGUACCCAAGAGUGGGGGAUAACGUAGCGAAAGUUACGCUAAUACCGCAUACGAUCUAAGGAUGAAAGCAGGGGACCGCAAGGCCUUGUGCUCCUGGAGCGGCCGAUAUCUGAUUAGCUAGUUGGUGGGGUAAAGGCCUACCAAGGCAUCGAUCAGUAGCUGGUCUGAGAGGACGACCAGCCACACUGGGACUGAGACACGGCCCAGACUCCUACGGGAGGCAGCAGUGGGGGAAUUUUGGACAAUGGGGGGCAACCCUGAUCCAGCAAUGCCGCGUGAGUGAAGAAGGCCUCGGUGUAAGACUCUUUGUUC
Molecule: ribosomal RNA, 409 nt
Filed under: uncultured bacterium
Lineage: Bacteria
Description: bacterial SSU rRNA
Rfam family: Bacterial small subunit ribosomal RNA
Source: RNAcentral